This 46-nucleotide non-coding RNA is filed under the name Schistosoma mansoni. The record is from RNAcentral. Lineage: Eukaryota; Metazoa; Platyhelminthes; Trematoda; Strigeidida; Schistosomatidae.
CUUCAUACUGACGAGUUCCAAAUGGGACGAAACGCGCGUCCUGGAU